UGCAUCGAUGAAGAACGCAGCGAAAUGCGAUAACUAAUGUGAAUUGCAGAAUUCAGUGAAUCAUCGAGUCUUUGAACGCACAUUGCGCCCUCUGGUAUUCCGGAGGGCAUGCCUGUCCGAGCGUCAUUGCUGCCCUCCAGCCCGGCUGGUGUGUUGGGCCCCGUCCCCCUUCCCGGGGGGACGGGCCCGAAAGGCAGCGGCGGCACCGCGUCCGGUCCUCGAGCGUAUGGGGCUUUGUCACCCGCUCUUGUAGGCCCGGCCGGCGCCAGCCGACCCCCUCAAUCUAUUUUUUCAGGUUGACCUCGGAUCAGGUAGGGAUACCCGCUGAACUUAAGCAUAUCAAUAAGCGGAGGAA
RNAcentral lists this ribosomal RNA (355 nucleotides) under Penicillium raphiae. RNAcentral describes it as "eukaryotic LSU rRNA". The stretch from base 1 to 126 matches the Rfam family "5.8S ribosomal RNA", at positions 29 to 154 of the family's 154-position model. Lineage: Eukaryota; Fungi; Ascomycota; Eurotiomycetes; Eurotiales; Aspergillaceae. The record is from RNAcentral.